CAAAAGAUAGUUUAGGGUAAAACAAUAGCUUUGGGAGCUGUAAAUCUGUUAAUAUACAACAGUCAUUUGA
This 70-nucleotide transfer RNA is filed under the name Trichodectes canis. Its description in RNAcentral is "tRNA-Pro". It matches the Rfam family "tRNA". From Rfam's summary of the family: Transfer RNA (tRNA) molecules are approximately 80 nucleotides in length. Their secondary structure includes four short double-helical elements and three loops (D, anti-codon, and T loops). The record is from RNAcentral. Lineage: Eukaryota; Metazoa; Arthropoda; Insecta; Psocodea; Trichodectidae.